Long non-coding RNA from Perca fluviatilis (European perch), 311 nucleotides. RefSeq lists it as uncharacterized. The record is from RefSeq and is a predicted model, not a curated record. NCBI's taxonomy places the organism in Eukaryota, Metazoa, Chordata, Actinopteri, Perciformes, Percidae. The transcript has 3 exons.
GUAGUCUAGAGAGUAAGUAGUUUGUGGUCCCAGUCUAGAGAGAAAGUAGCCUAGAGAGUAAGUAGUUUGUGGUCCCAGUCUAGAGAGAAAGUAGUCUAGAGAGUAAGUAGUUCGUGGUCCCAGACUAGAGAGUAAGUAGUCUAGAGAGUAAGUAGUCUAGAGAGUAAGUAGUUUGUGGUCCCAGUCUAGAGAGUAAGUAGUCUAGAGAGUGUAGUUUGUGGUCCCAGUCUAGAGAGUAAGUAGUCUAGAGAGUAAGUAGUUUGUGGUCCCAGACUAGAGAGUAAGUAGCCUAGAGAGUAAGUAGUUUGUGG